This 947-nucleotide long non-coding RNA is filed under the name Anas platyrhynchos platyrhynchos (common mallard). RNAcentral describes it as "lncRNA (ENSAPLG00000018010.1)". Lineage: Eukaryota; Metazoa; Chordata; Aves; Anseriformes; Anatidae. The record is from RNAcentral.
GCUCGUACCCCGAGGAGCACUUCACGGAGGAGGCCCCGCGGCGCCUGCUGGGCGCCUUCCAGCGCCGCCUGGCCCGAAUCUCCCGGCGCGUCCAGCGCCGCAACGCCGCGCUGCCCCUGCCAUACCCCUACCUCGACCCCGCCGCCAUCGAGAACAGCAUCGCCAUCUGAGGGACGUCCCCAAUGUCCCCUGGUGUCCCCAAUGUCCCCAGGUGGCCCCAAGACCCCCAGGUGUCUCCCAAGUCCCCAAAUCCCCCGGUGUCCCCAAUGUCCCCAGGUGUCCCCAAAUCCCCAGCUGUCUCCAACCCCACAUUUCCCAAACGUCUCUGCAUGUCCCCAAAGUCCCCUGGUGUCCCCAAUAUCCCCUGGUUGUCCCCAAGACCCUCAGGAGUCCCCAAAUCCCCCGGUGUCCCCAAAUGUCCCCAACGCCGCGCUGCCCCUGCCAUACCCCUACCUCAACCCCGCCGCCAUCGAGAACAGCAUCGCCAUCUGAGGGACGUCCCCAAUGUCCCCUGGUGUCCCCAGGUGUCCCCAAGACCCCCAGGUGUCCCCAAGACCCUCACCCGUCUCCCCAUCCCUUGGUGUCCCCAAAUCCCCAGGCGUUCCCAAAUCCCCAGCUGUCUCCAACCCCACAUCUCCCAAACGCCUCUGCAUGUCCCCAAUGUCCCCAAUGUCCCCGGGUGUCCCCUGGUGUCCCCAAUGUCCCCUGGUGUCCCCAGGUGUCCCCAAGACCCCCAGGUGUCCCCAAGACCCUCAGGAGUCUCCCCAUCCCUUGGUGUCCCCAAAUCCCCAGGCGUUCCCAAAUCCCCAGCUGUCUCCAACCCCACAUUUCCCAAACGCCUCCGCAUGUCCCCAAAAUCCCCUGGUGUCCCCAAUGUCCCCUGGUGUCCCUAAGACCCUCAGGUGUCCCCAAAUCCCCCAGUGUCCCCAAUGUCCCCAGGCGUUCCC